This 194-nucleotide small RNA is filed under the name Luteipulveratus mongoliensis. Its description in RNAcentral is "c-di-AMP sequence". It matches the Rfam family "c-di-AMP riboswitch aptamer (ydaO/yuaA leader)". From Rfam's summary of the family: This family represents a conserved RNA structure found upstream of the ydaO and yuaA genes in Bacillus subtilis and related genes in other bacteria. The ydaO/yuaA element is thought to act as a genetic "off" switch for the ydaO and yuaA genes in its native state. It is believed that the element may be triggered during osmotic shock leading to activation of ydaO, a predicted amino acid transporter gene, and members of the yuaA-yubG operon which code for KtrA and KtrB K+ transporters. Lineage: Bacteria; Bacillati; Actinomycetota; Actinomycetes; Micrococcales; Dermacoccaceae. The record is from RNAcentral.
UGCGCCCGAACGCCGAACCUCGUCACUUUCUGGCGCAAUUCCUCGGACCGUCCGAGGCGCAUGACGAGGGUGGGGGAACCACUUUCGACGCACCAGCUCCACGCGUCUUGGGGUGAAGUCGGCACGACGCCGGCCGGGCACCUGACAGCCCGAACCCGACAGCUCACCUCACAGGCGUUCGUCAGGAAGGAUGC